AACCUCUCUCUCUUCUUCCAUAGUCCAGAGAUCUGCAUGUCUUUCCUAAUUAAAAGGGAAUGGCCAAAAGGGUUAAGAUCCCUUUUUGACAGGCAGGUGCCAAAACUAGGAUUGUGUGUGUGGAUUCUUAACUAGAGGCAUGAAAUUUAUCAAAUCAGGGUACCUUCUCCAUGCCUUUGCUUCCCAUCAUUUGCAUGAACAGAAGAAAAGAAGAGCAGGGGGAGGGUGUGCAUAACCCCCUCCCCCAUUUCAGCCUGAUGGGAGUCGUUUUGCAGAAACAAAAAAAUAGAUGGUCACACAAGGAAGGUAUGGAAGUCAAUGGGAAGAUCAGCCUUUGGAGAAAAGGUUACAAUUACAGUACUGGAGUGGACCAAGGUCCAUGUCAACCACCAGGCAGCUUAUUACAAGAUUUUGAGCUGGGCCUGCCCUUUUGGUCUACUUCAAAGAACCCUGUUCUGAAUAUAGAGGGUUGAAUGGGGAGAGAGAUCUUCCUUACCUGAAAGAUUUAAAAGGGAAGGAAGGGUCGCUGAAUGCCACCCUGAACAUCUUGCUGAGGAGGGAGAAAGCUGUGCCUGCUCAAAAGUCCAUCCACUACAGAAGCUUUAUCGUCUUCAACAUUUGAUCAUCCGAGGAGGAGGAGGAGGAGGAGGAGUAGAAAGAUGGACAAAAUUAAUCAAAAUGAGGGCCACAUAUUACAAAUAAAAUGUUAAAGGAAUAUCCUGGGUCUUAAAAAGUUGAAGUCGUUUUUUUAGACUAGUGCAUGUGUUGGCUAUCUAAGAAGAGGUGGUUUUCACACCCCAACAUCUAAAUCUGCUUUAUCAGAGAUUCUCUGGCCCUGCUACCUAUAUUCCCAUUGGCCAGUGAAAAUAAUACACGAUUCCAGUAAUAAGCCAUCAAGUAAUCCAUAGAAUAUGGAACACUCAUCAUUGGAAUGUGGCUUUUAACAGUUUCUCUAUAGCCAGAAUACCAAGUACAUCUUUUCCAAGGUAAGAAAGAUAAUCUACAGUUUACAGCUUACAUCAGUCCAAACCAAGAAACAUAUUUUAAAAUAUCUAGCUUUUUAGAAGUUUUACAUAACAUUAGUAUGGUUUACUCAGCAUGGCCUCAAUAUACUAAAUCAAUAUCCCAAUAUAUUUUGGGGAAUAAGGUUUCUGAUUGUUUUAUUUUUAAAAACCCAAUAAAAAACAAGUAAAUCAGAUCCUAGCUAAAACAGCCCCACUAAAAUCAGUUUCAGGAGAUAUGGCUUCUUUUUACACUUACACCUUGAUCUGAAUCAGCAGAAUGCAUUUCAAAUAAGAUGUACAUAUGCAAUAAAAGCAAGCCGAGUCAUGUUUCCUAUUGAUACUAGAUAUAUUUCCUAAAAAGCAACUGCUUGAACUUGAUCAUUAGAUCAUGCUAAUUUAAAAGUAGAGUAUUAUUUACAGUGAUUUAUUCUCAGGCUUUCUUUUCAGGACAUUACAAAAUUUCCUCUUGCUAAAGAUACUUCGAGGAAAUAGUUUACAUCAUCAGAGUCCAGGCUGACAUAUAUAUGAAAUCGUAAACACUAAUAAGUUGAAAUACUCACUUUUCGUUUAUUAUGAUAGGCAAUGUAUAGUGCAGCAACAACAAUAGCUGUGGUCACCAAGUAGGCAAAGAAGUGGCUAUUUUCAGAUCCAUUCCUGGGUGUCUCAA
Candoia aspera is the source of this 1671-nucleotide long non-coding RNA. RefSeq lists it as uncharacterized. The record is from RefSeq and is a predicted model, not a curated record. The transcript has 2 exons. Lineage: Eukaryota; Metazoa; Chordata; Lepidosauria; Squamata; Candoiidae.